RNAcentral lists this ribosomal RNA (1382 nucleotides) under Vibrio parahaemolyticus. RNAcentral's name for it is "partial 23S ribosomal RNA". It matches the Rfam family "Bacterial large subunit ribosomal RNA", at positions 1585 to 2925 of the family's 2925-position model. Lineage: Bacteria; Pseudomonadati; Pseudomonadota; Gammaproteobacteria; Vibrionales; Vibrionaceae. The record is from RNAcentral.
GUGAAGUCAUUGAUGCCAUGCUUCCAGGAAAAGCCUCUAAGCUUCAGAUUGUAAGGAAUCGUACCCCAAACCGACACAGGUGGUCGGGUAGAGAAUACCAAGGCGCUUGAGAGAACUCGGGUGAAGGAACUAGGCAAAAUGGUACCGUAACUUCGGGAGAAGGUACGCUCUUGACGGUGAAGUCCCUCGCGGAUGGAGCUAUUGAGAGUCGCAGAUACCAGGUGGCUGCAACUGUUUAUUAAAAACACAGCACUGUGCAAAAUCGUAAGAUGACGUAUACGGUGUGACGCCUGCCCGGUGCCGGAAGGUUAAUUGAUGGGGUUAGACUUCGGUCGAAGCUCUUGAUCGAAGCCCCGGUAAACGGCGGCCGUAACUAUAACGGUCCUAAGGUAGCGAAAUUCCUUGUCGGGUAAGUUCCGACCUGCACGAAUGGCGUAAUGAUGGCCACGCUGUCUCCACCCGAGACUCAGUGAAAUUGAAAUCGCUGUGAAGAUGCAGUGUACCCGCGGCUAGACGGAAAGACCCCGUGAACCUUUACUACAGCUUGGCACUGAACAUUGACCCUACAUGUGUAGGAUAGGUGGGAGGCUUUGAAGCACGUACGCCAGUAUGUGUGGAGCCGUCCUUGAAAUACCACCCUUGUAGUGUUGAUGUUCUAACGUCGACCCCUUAUCGGGGUUGCGGACAGUGCCUGGUGGGUAGUUUGACUGGGGCGGUCUCCUCCCAAAGAGUAACGGAGGAGCACGAAGGUGGGCUAAUCACGGUUGGACAUCGUGAGGUUAGUGCAAUGGCAUAAGCCCGCUUGACUGCGAGAAUGACAAUUCGAGCAGGUGCGAAAGCAGGUCAUAGUGAUCCGGUGGUUCUGAAUGGAAGGGCCAUCGCUCAACGGAUAAAAGGUACUCCGGGGAUAACAGGCUGAUACCGCCCAAGAGUUCAUAUCGACGGCGGUGUUUGGCACCUCGAUGUCGGCUCAUCACAUCCUGGGGCUGAAGUCGGUCCCAAGGGUAUGGCUGUUCGCCAUUUAAAGUGGUACGCGAGCUGGGUUUAGAACGUCGUGAGACAGUUCGGUCCCUAUCUGCCGUGGGCGUUGGAAGAUUGAAGGGGGCUGCUCCUAGUACGAGAGGACCGGAGUGGACGAACCUCUGGUGUUCGGGUUGUGUCGCCAGACGCAUUGCCCGGUAGCUAAGUUCGGAAUCGAUAACCGCUGAAAGCAUCUAAGCGGGAAGCGAGCCCUGAGAUGAGUCUUCCCUGAUACUUUAAGUAUCCUAAAGGGUUGUCGGAGACUACGACGUUGAUAGGUCAGGUGUGUAAGUGCUGUGAGGCAUUGAGCUAACUGAUACUAAUUGCCCGUGAGGCUUAACCAUACAACACCCAAGGGGUUU